UCGGUUGUUUCAAGUUUGUGAGGAAUUAUGACGAGCAUAGUUACAUCAUGAGUAUUUCAUCUUUACUCUUUUUUCUUGUACCUGAAUAAAUAACUUUAGAGGCCUUUUAAUGGUUUUACUGGUUGAGCAGGUCCCCUGGGAUGUUAGGUACUGUAUAAUACCAAUUGCUUUUAGAGAUUUUAUGUGCAAAUUGAUACGGGCAUUGCUGCGCGCAAAAUUCAAGAUUGAGAAAGCAUUACAGUAGAGGUUAGUUUAUUUUCUGUUACAGAUUAUCUGAAAUUUGGCCUUUUUGCUUAUUAAGUUUGUGAUCGUUUCAGUAUGUUAUAAUCUUGCUCUAACAGAUUCCAGAUAUUUGCUGGUGCUACAUGUGAUUUAUGAAACUUGGCUAAUUUGUGAUGUGGCAUGUGUUUGUUUGACAGGCCAAGGUGGAGCCUGUGGUAGGGGCAAAUCCCGAAGAUGAGCUUGAGCUUGUGAUCGUCUUCCAUAAAGCUGAAGCUUCAUUCACCGAUAGUCGCAAGGUCUUAGCAGCCAAGAGUUUUUUUCCCUUGCUUUGUAGGAAGAUCAUUUGCUUGGGUGAUUUUGCACUGUAAGACCCGUUCUAGUUGUGGAUCUUAAUCUGGGCAAUGAAAUGAAAGAAUGCAAUCUGGUCUUGUUCCGGUUCUUGAUGCUACCAAUGCUACUUCUUGUUGAGUUUAUUUGCUCCAGUGCCUUCAUGUAGUAGUAUAUCCUGUACUUAGUGGAUCUUAAUCUAGGGAAUGAAAUUAAAGAUCAUUUGAUCAGGUAGUUCGCUGUGCAAUGCGAUCUGGUCUUGUUCUGGUAAUUGAUGCUACCAAUGCUACUUCCUGUUGAG
Molecule: long non-coding RNA, 850 nt
Filed under: Triticum aestivum (bread wheat)
Lineage: Eukaryota; Viridiplantae; Streptophyta; Magnoliopsida; Poales; Poaceae
Description: long non-coding RNA (TAES_LNC027472)
Source: RNAcentral